AAGCACCUUCACUCAAUAUUUUGCAUUUGAUCUUGACUUCAAUAGGAACCACCCUUCCGUCAUUGUGCAGCCCGGGAAGAGACCUCUACCUGUGGAAUCCCCGGAUACCCAAAGGAAGCGCAGGAUACACAGAUGCGACUAUGAUGGAUGCAAUAAGGUCUACACUAAGAGCUCGCACUUGAAAGCACACAGAAGAACCCAUACAGGUAGGAGACGCAUCAGCGCCGAAUGCUAGGUGUGUGAGGUAAAGUCGACGCAUCAGCAUUCCAAACACCCUGAGACCAGAAGCUUUUUACUUUAUUUUCUUAUUAUUAUUGGGAGGCAGGGUAUGGCACACAU
Molecule: long non-coding RNA, 339 nt
Filed under: Rattus norvegicus (Norway rat)
Lineage: Eukaryota; Metazoa; Chordata; Mammalia; Rodentia; Muridae
Description: long non-coding RNA NONRATT009908
Source: RNAcentral